This 424-nucleotide ribosomal RNA is filed under the name uncultured bacterium. RNAcentral's name for it is "bacterial SSU rRNA". It matches the Rfam family "Bacterial small subunit ribosomal RNA", at positions 355 to 772 of the family's 1533-position model. The record is from RNAcentral.
UCGAGAAUUUUUCUCAAUGGGCGAAAGCCUGAAGGAGCGACGCCGCGUGGGGGAUGAAGGGUUUCGAUCCGUAAACCCCUGUCAUUUGUGAACAAUGCCUGCCUGAUAACACCGGGCAGGUUGAUAGUAAUGAAAGAGGAAGGGACGGCUAACUCUGUGCCAGCAGCCGCGGUAAUACAGAGGUCCCGAGCGUUGUUCGGAUUCACUGGGCGUAAAGGGUGCGCAGGUGGCGAGGCAAGUCGGAUGUGAAAGCUCCGGGCUCAACCCGGAAAUGGCAUUGGAAACUGCCUUGCUCGAGGUUUGGAGGGGGGACUGGAAUUCUCGGUGUAGCAGUGAAAUGCGUAGAUAUCGAGAGGAACACCAGUGGCGAAGGCGAGUCCCUGGACAAAUCCUGACACUGAGGCACGAAAGCUAGGGGAGCAAA